ACCUGCGGAAGGAUCAUUGUCGUGACCCUGACCAAAACAGACCGUGAACAUGUCAUCCAUGCCACCGAUUCAUGGGGCUUGCACCUAUGUCUCGGUCUAGGCCACCAACCUUCUUCCAGAGGGACGGGGGCCCAAAAGAACCCACGGCGCUGUAUGGCGUCAAGGAAAACUAAUAUUGCCUUGCCCGGGGUGACGACUGGCUUGCUGGACGUGCCCCGUGCUGCGAUGCUAUGUAAACUCACAUGACUCUCGGCAACGGAUAUCUCGGCUCUUGCAUCGAUGAAGAACGUAGCAAAAUGCGAUACCUGGUGUGAAUUGCAGAAUCCCGUGAACCAUCGAGUUUUUGAACGCAAGUUGCGCCCAAGGCCGUUUGGUCGAGGGCACGUCUGCCUGGGCGUCACGCCAAAAGACACUCCACACAAAUCCCGGUCUGGACGUGGUGUUUGGCCCCUCAAGCCGCAAGGUGUGGUAGGCCAAAGAUGGGGCUGCCGGCGGUGCCGAUCACAGCACAAGGUGGAUGACGCAAGUUGUUCUCGGUGUUAUGAUCUGGACCACUCCCGGUGAUGUUAUGGCCCUUUGGACCCUUGGUUUUGAGUGCAUGUUGCUCGAACCGCGACCCCAGGUCAGUCGGGACUACCCGCUGAAUUUAAGCAUAUCAAUAAGCGG
Molecule: ribosomal RNA, 666 nt
Filed under: Disakisperma dubium
Lineage: Eukaryota; Viridiplantae; Streptophyta; Magnoliopsida; Poales; Poaceae
Description: eukaryotic LSU rRNA
Rfam family: 5.8S ribosomal RNA (bases 245-400)
Source: RNAcentral